Molecule: ribosomal RNA, 449 nt
Filed under: uncultured bacterium
Lineage: Bacteria
Description: bacterial SSU rRNA
Rfam family: Bacterial small subunit ribosomal RNA
Source: RNAcentral
UGAGGAAUCUUGCACAAUGGGCGAAAGCCUGAUGCAGCGACGCCGCGUGGAGGAUGAAGGUCUUCGGAUUGUAAACUUCUGUUAAGUGGGGCGAAAGACGCAAUUUUAAUAGAAUUGUGGGAUGACGGUACCAUUAGAGAAAGCACCGGCUAACUUCGUGCCAGCAGCCGCGGUAAUACGAAGGGUGCAAGCGUUAUUCGGAAUGAUUGGGCGUAAAGGGUGCGCAGACGGUUUGUUAAGUCAACUGUUAAAUUUCCCGGCCUAACUGGGAGCUCGCAGUAGAAACUGGCAGACUAGAGGAUGGAAGAGAGAAGUGGAAUUCUCGGAGUAGCGGUAAAAUGCGUAGAUCUCGAGAGGAACACCGAUGGCGAAGGCAGCUUCUUGGUCCAUUUCUGACGUUCAAGCACGAAAGCGUGGGGAGCAAACAGGAUUAGAUACCCCCGUAGUCC